RNAcentral lists this ribosomal RNA (253 nucleotides) under uncultured bacterium. RNAcentral describes it as "partial 16S ribosomal RNA". It matches the Rfam family "Bacterial small subunit ribosomal RNA", at positions 524 to 776 of the family's 1533-position model. The record is from RNAcentral.
UACGUAGGGUGCGAGCGUUAAUCGGAAUUACUGGGCGUAAAGGGUGCGCAGGCGGUCCCGCAAGUCAGGCGUGAAAUCCCCGGGCUUAACCUGGGAAUUGCGAUGGAGACUGCAAGGCUAGAAUCUGGCAGAGGGGGGUAGAAUUCCACGUGUGGCAGUGAAAUGCGUAGAUAUCGGGAGGAACACCGGUGGCGAAGGCGGCGACCUGGGCCAAUACUGACGCUGAGGUGCGAAAGCGUGGGGAGCAAACAGG